RNAcentral lists this small RNA (264 nucleotides) under uncultured Stackebrandtia sp. RNAcentral's name for it is "5' ureB small RNA". Lineage: Bacteria; Bacillati; Actinomycetota; Actinomycetes; Glycomycetales; Glycomycetaceae. The record is from RNAcentral.
GUAGUGAACAUGGGUGUCGACCGCUCCGGCGGUCAAUAUGCGCCCCUCACCCGCGAUCACGUCCGUGCUCGGUCCAAUGUGAAGAUCCGGGUGAAUACCGUCCAUGACAUCGGGGUUGCCCGAUUUACCGAUCGCCACGAUCCGGCCGUCACGGACACCGACGUCGCCACGCACGAUCCCCCAGUGGUCGAGCACGACCACAUUGGUGAUGACCAGAUCGACAGCGCCCUGAUCGCGCGUCGUGAGACCCUGCCCCAUGGAUUC